GGGGGAGUGGCGAAAUGGCAGACGCGCAUGCCUUAGGAGCAUGUGCCUUAAUCGGCGUGUGGGUUCGACUCCCACCUUCCCCACCA
RNAcentral lists this transfer RNA (86 nucleotides) under Chloroflexota bacterium. RNAcentral's name for it is "Chloroflexi bacterium tRNA-Leu". It matches the Rfam family "tRNA". Rfam says of the family: Transfer RNA (tRNA) molecules are approximately 80 nucleotides in length. Lineage: Bacteria; Bacillati; Chloroflexota. RNAcentral also lists the same sequence under 1 other name. The record is from RNAcentral.